CGUGCCUUCGACACAAUCUGAUGCAAAAACUGCAAACUGGGUCCACCGUCAACCACAACGGCACCCGACAGUCCGAAAUAGUCUAUACUCUACUAUAAAAAUAAACUCAGCAUCCCAACACGAGCGUAAAUACAUUCUACACUAUCCUGGGUAUCCACCGCCCACAAACUGCGACGAUACAAACAAACUACGGCUCCUAGAGCUAAAUCUGGUAGUUUCAGAAAAUGACGGUGUAGAAUCGGCAGUUUUCUUCUAAGUCAAUUCCAAAUCCAACAUGUAUAAUUAAACUAACAUUUUACGCUCCAAAUUCAAAUUUCUAUAGGCAUGCAAAUCCAUAAAUUU
This 342-nucleotide long non-coding RNA is filed under the name Ananas comosus (pineapple). RNAcentral's name for it is "long non-coding RNA (ACOM_LNC027740)". The record is from RNAcentral. Lineage: Eukaryota; Viridiplantae; Streptophyta; Magnoliopsida; Poales; Bromeliaceae.